UAAUUGCCACAACGGCUUCCUGACGUGGCAGAGCAGUAGAAUAUUGGAGCA
Thalassobium sp. R2A62 is the source of this 51-nucleotide regulatory RNA element. It matches the Rfam family "SAM/SAH riboswitch aptamer". The record is from Rfam. Lineage: Bacteria; Pseudomonadati; Pseudomonadota; Alphaproteobacteria; Rhodobacterales; Paracoccaceae.